Molecule: ribosomal RNA, 219 nt
Filed under: Lysobacter gummosus
Lineage: Bacteria; Pseudomonadati; Pseudomonadota; Gammaproteobacteria; Lysobacterales; Lysobacteraceae
Description: partial 16S ribosomal RNA
Rfam family: Bacterial small subunit ribosomal RNA
Source: RNAcentral
GGCUCAACCUGGGAAUGGCAUUGGAAACUGGCUGACUAGAGUGCGGUAGAGGGUAGUGGAAUUCCCGGUGUAGCAGUGAAAUGCGUAGAUAUCGGGAGGAACAUCUGUGGCGAAGGCGACUACCUGGACCAGCACUGACACUGAGGCACGAAAGCGUGGGGAGCAAACAGGAUUAUAUACCCUGGUAGUCCACGCCCUAAUCGAUGCGAACUGUAUGUU